GGGUUGUGAGGUUAAGCGACUAAGCGUACACGGUGGAUGCCCUGGCAGUCAGAGGCGAUGAAGGACGUGCUAAUCUGCGAUAAGCGUCGGUAAGGUGAUAUGAACCGUUAUAACCGGCGAUUUCCGAAUGGGGAAACCCAGUGUGAUUCGUCACACUAUCAUUAACUGAAUCCAUAGGUUAAUGAGGCGAACCGGGGAACUGAAACAUCUAAGUACCCCGAGGAAAAGAAAUCAACCGAGAUUCCCCCAGUAGCGGCGAGCGAACGGGGAGCAGCCCAGAGCCUGAAUCAGUGUGUGUGUUAGUGGAAGCGUCUGGAAAGGCGCGCGAUACAGGGUGACAGCCCCGUACACAAAAAUGCACAUGCUGUGAGCUCGAUGAGUAGGGCGGGACACGUGGUAUCCUGUCUGAAUAUGGGGGACCAUCCUCCAAGGCUAAAUACUCCUGACUGACCGAUAGUGAACCAGUACCGUGAGGGAAAGGCGAAAAGAACCCCGGCGAGGGGAGUGAAAAAGAACCUGAAACCGUGUACGUACAAGCAGUGGGAGCACGCUUAGGCGUGUGACUGCGUACCUUUUGUAUAAUGGGUCAGCGACUUAUAUUCUGUAGCAAGGUUAACCGAAUAGGGGAGCCGAAGGGAAACCGAGUCUUAACUGGGCGUUAAGUUGCAGGGUAUAGACCCGAAACCCGGUGAUCUAGCCAUGGGCAGGUUGAAGGUUGGGUAACACUAACUGGAGGACCGAACCGACUAAUGUUGAAAAAUUAGCGGAUGACUUGUGGCUGGGGGUGAAAGGCCAAUCAAACCGGGAGAUAGCUGGUUCUCCCCGAAAGCUAUUUAGGUAGCGCCUCGUGAAUUCAUCUCCGGGGGUAGAGCACUGUUUCGGCAAGGGGGUCAUCCCGACUUACCAACCCGAUGCAAACUGCGAAUACCGGAGAAUGUUAUCACGGGAGACACACGGCGGGUGCUAACGUCCGUCGUGAAGAGGGAAACAACCCAGACCGCCAGCUAAGGUCCCAAAGUCAUGGUUAAGUGGGAAACGAUGUGGGAAGGCCCAGACAGCCAGGAUGUUGGCUUAGAAGCAGCCAUCAUUUAAAGAAAGCGUAAUAGCUCACUGGUCGAGUCGGCCUGCGCGGAAGAUGUAACGGGGCUAAACCAUGCACCGAAGCUGCGGCAGCGACGCUUAUGCGUUGUUGGGUAGGGGAGCGUUCUGUAAGCCUGUGAAGGUGUGCUGUGAGGCAUGCUGGAGGUAUCAGAAGUGCGAAUGCUGACAUAAGUAACGAUAAAGCGGGUGAAAAGCCCGCUCGCCGGAAGACCAAGGGUUCCUGUCCAACGUUAAUCGGGGCAGGGUGAGUCGACCCCUAAGGCGAGGCCGAAAGGCGUAGUCGAUGGGAAACAGGUUAAUAUUCCUGUACUUGGUGUUACUGCGAAGGGGGACGGAGAAGGCUAUGUUGGCCGGGCGACGGUUGUCCCGGUUUAAGCGUGUAGGCUGGUUUUCCAGGCAAAUCCGGAAAAUCAAGGCUGAGGCGUGAUGACGAGGCACUACGGUGCUGAAGCAACAAAUGCCCUGCUUCCAGGAAAAGCCUCUAAGCAUCAGGUAACAUCAAAUCGUACCCCAAACCGACACAGGUGGUCAGGUAGAGAAUACCAAGGCGCUUGAGAGAACUCGGGUGAAGGAACUAGGCAAAAUGGUGCCGUAACUUCGGGAGAAGGCACGCUGAUAUGUAGGUGAAGUCCCUCGCGGAUGGAGCUGAAAUCAGUCGAAGAUACCAGCUGGCUGCAACUGUUUAUUAAAAACACAGCACUGUGCAAACACGAAAGUGGACGUAUACGGUGUGACGCCUGCCCGGUGCCGGAAGGUUAAUUGAUGGGGUCAGCGCAAGCGAAGCUCUUGAUCGAAGCCCCGGUAAACGGCGGCCGUAACUAUAACGGUCCUAAGGUAGCGAAAUUCCUUGUCGGGUAAGUUCCGACCUGCACGAAUGGCGUAAUGAUGGCCAGGCUGUCUCCACCCGAGACUCAGUGAAAUUGAACUCGCUGUGAAGAUGCAGUGUACCCGCGGCAAGACGGAAAGACCCCGUGAACCUUUACUAUAGCUUGACACUGAACAUUGAGCCUUGAUGUGUAGGAUAGGUGGGAGGCUUAGAAGUGUGGACGCCAGUCUGCAUGGAGCCGACCUUGAAAUACCACCCUUUAAUGUUUGAUGUUCUAACGUUGACCCGUAAUCCGGGUUGCGGACAGUGUCUGGUGGGUAGUUUGACUGGGGCGGUCUCCUCCUAAAGAGUAACGGAGGAGCACGAAGGUUGGCUAAUCCUGGUCGGACAUCAGGAGGUUAGUGCAAUGGCAUAAGCCAGCUUGACUGCGAGCGUGACGGCGCGAGCAGGUGCGAAAGCAGGUCAUAGUGAUCCGGUGGUUCUGAAUGGAAGGGCCAUCGCUCAACGGAUAAAAGGUACUCCGGGGAUAACAGGCUGAUACCGCCCAAGAGUUCAUAUCGACGGCGGUGUUUGGCACCUCGAUGUCGGCUCAUCACAUCCUGGGGCUGAAGUAGGUCCCAAGGGUAUGGCUGUUCGCCAUUUAAAGUGGUACGCGAGCUGGGUUUAGAACGUCGUGAGACAGUUCGGUCCCUAUCUGCCGUGGGCGCUGGAGAACUGAGGGGGGCUGCUCCUAGUACGAGAGGACCGGAGUGGACGCAUCACUGGUGUUCGGGUUGUCAUGCCAAUGGCACUGCCCGGUAGCUAAAUGCGGAAGAGAUAAGUGCUGAAAGCAUCUAAGCACGAAACUUGCCCCGAGAUGAGUUCUCCCUGACUCCUUGAGAGUCCUGAAGGAACGUUGAAGACGACGACGUUGAUAGGCCGGGUGUGUAAGCGCAGCGAUGCGUUGAGCUAACCGGUACUAAUGAACCGUGAGGCUUAACCUUACAACGCCGAAGCUGUU
Molecule: ribosomal RNA, 2927 nt
Filed under: Escherichia coli
Lineage: Bacteria; Pseudomonadati; Pseudomonadota; Gammaproteobacteria; Enterobacterales; Enterobacteriaceae
Description: bacterial LSU rRNA
Rfam family: Bacterial large subunit ribosomal RNA
Source: RNAcentral